UGGUUCCUGCGGGCACGGUUGAAACCUCGUCGCAGCGCGUGCCGCUGCGCGUCACCGGCGCCUAUGACAGCGUUAAGGCGGUGGCCGAAACUCCCGUCGAAGGCAAUGGCCGCGUGUUCCGUCUUGGCGACAUCGCCAUGGUCACGCACGGUUUCGUCGAUCCGCCGAGCUAUCAGGUACGCCAGGAGGGCAAAACGGCGAU
This 202-nucleotide unclassified non-coding RNA is filed under the name Hevea brasiliensis (rubber tree). Lineage: Eukaryota; Viridiplantae; Streptophyta; Magnoliopsida; Malpighiales; Euphorbiaceae. The record is from RNAcentral.